CAGCCUGACCGGCUGCAGCUGAAGGGAGAAGCUGAUUGCCUGUGAUGCUGAUCAACCCCACACCUUCCUGGGUGAGGACUGGACAUUGUGAACAACACUGUCCUUGGUCAGAAAGGAACGAGGGACUUGACAACAGACCUGGAGAGUGGGAAACUGACGGGAUAUGUGGGAUCGGACAAUGAUGGGGAAAUCGUACUUCUUCCUGUCACUUCUCCAAGCUGCAGUAUCAACGGAGUGGACAAUCAACGUUCAAUUAAAUGUGACAGCACAGAGGGGUCUGUGUGCCCGGAUUCCGUGCAACUACAGUUACCCGUCACGUCUGAACAAAAUACCACCCGUUGGAAUCUGGAUUAACGAUGAGAACUGGAACGAUCAGUCUAUCGC
Amblyraja radiata (thorny skate) is the source of this 384-nucleotide long non-coding RNA. RefSeq lists it as uncharacterized. The transcript has 3 exons. The record is from RefSeq and is a predicted model, not a curated record. Lineage: Eukaryota; Metazoa; Chordata; Chondrichthyes; Rajiformes; Rajidae.